GUCAGGUCAUGCCUGAGUUAGGAUAAAAGACAUUGAUUGUCUUGUGAUUUACUCAUUUUGUAUUUGUUAGACGAUUAGUUUUGUUUUGUCUAAGUUCUUUGUAAUUAUCUUCAUUUUGUAAGUGCAGCUGGGCAUUUUAUCAAUAUAAUCUUCUCACUUUUGACGAGAAAAAAAACAAAAACAAAAACAACCAAAGUCUUCUCAAGGGCCGUUACAAUCUGGCCCAUCCCAAAAAAUAGAAUUGCUCUACCACCUGGAGGGGCAUUCAAAAGGGCUACCCCCUUCUUCAACGUGGAUCCCACAUUCUCAUUGGGGAUGGUUCUUCCACAUCUUUUUGGCUUGAUAACUGGACGGGCCUUGGCUCUCUACGUUCUCUUAUUGCUGAUCCUCUAAAUUGGAAAGAGGAUGACUUGACAGUGCGUGAUUGUUGGGACCAACAUCACUGGAACCUCAACCACAUAUCUUUCAUUUUACCCCCGUCUUUAGUUGAGAGUUUUCAAAACACCAAUGUUUUGUCCUUCACCCAAAAACCUGACCGAAUCAUAAAUCCCAGUAAUGGGGAUUUCUCCUCAAAAUCGGCUUACAACCUCGCCAAUAAUGCUUCUUACUCUGAACCACCAUGAUUCGUCUUGGGUCUGGAAACUCCCGUGCACCCCUAGGAUCCAAUAUUUUUUUUGGCUUAUGGCACAUGAGCGUCUCUCCACGUGCAAUAACCUCUACAUUAGGCACAUCACAAACUCUCCAUGUUGUUCCUGGUGUGACCAGAUUGAGGAGAACACUUACCAUGUUUUGCGCGAUUGUCCACGAGCUAUGGAAGUCUGGAAUGAGAUCGACUUCCCCAACACUCAUUUCAACACCCCUCUUCAUACUUGGGUUCAAAAAAAUCUCAAAAUAUCUGGCUCAAACCAGUUCGGUGUUGGUUGGCGUUUCAUCUUUCCCUUUGCGUGUUAGCAAAUCUGGUGCCACCGCAACAAAAGCCUCUUUGAACCUCAAACCAACUCGAGUUCUGACCAAUCGAAUCAAGUGGUUAAGGUUAUUCUAGCAAAAGCAACGGAAUGGGAGUUCACUAUCAAUCCAGUCUCUUUUAAGUGCCGAAAUAGCAUCCUUGUACGUUGGGUACCUCCACUCGAAUAGGUCUUCAAGCUUAACACGAACAGAUCAGUAAAUCUCGCAACCAAGCGGGCCUCAACAGGCGGCUUAAUCCGAGAUCGCAAUGGCAAUAUGAAAGGCAGUUUCCACCGCAAUAUGAUGGCAGAUUUGAGUACCAUGGCAGAACCCUGAUGGCCUCAAUUUUGCUCUUAUGGAAAACAUUAACAGAUUAGAAGUCAAAACAGAUGCUCUAGCUGCCUCUCAGCUCCUUUCGGCUAAGAAAAUUGAUAAUCACCUGUUGAGUACUGUGAUUUUCGAAUGCAUGUCCCUAAUGCAAUGCUUUGAUAGCUUCACCAUCAACCACAUCUUCAGCGAAGCAAACAAAUGUGCUCACACUUUGGCAAGUGAUACCCCGGUCUCAAUGGGGAAUUUUCUACUAUCUUUACAUUCCGCAUUGUAUUGUUAAUUUCCUAUAUGCAGACUCUAUCGGGGUGGAAUACCCAAGAGAUGUACUAUCUUUGAUUUAGUUUUAAUGCAAGUUCCAGUUAACCAAAAUAAUAAUAAUAAUAAUAAUAAUAAUAGAGGCCAGUGACAACACAAGACUGGUAUAACAUUUAGGGCAAAAUACGGAUUACCUCCCCAUGGUUUGAGCAUUUGGUAGAUGACCUCCCUGACUUUUAUUAAUGAGCAGUUUGCCUCCUCAUGGUUUUGGAGUAAAGUGCUACCAUCAAAUUUUCCACCCAAACUGACGGGAGGUGUAAAACACACGCCUAUUAUGAGACUGAAAAUGAAAAAAAUAAUUAAAUAAAUGAAUAUUUUGGUGUAAGAUGACAGAACUAUCCUUCUCCAUCAUCUUCCCCAACAAUAUCCUCACAAACAACACUACCCUCUCUGGCCCCUUUGUCCACCUUGUCCAACACAUUGAAACUGGAAGCUUAAUCUGUGUAGGGAGUGGCCUCAAACUAAAAGCUUGAACCAUCUCCUUCAAUGGCCCCUGCUUAUUUGCUAAAAGGGUUGUGUAUGCUAUCCUUAAUUUUUCUUUGUCCACUCUUUAAUUACUUUGGCCACAUAAUAGGAACCCAGAAACCCGUCAUCAUUGCUGCAGAUUUCAACGUGACUGCCCACGGAAAUAUCCAUAGGUGGGUUUGGGGAAUUUCUUGAUUCUUGGUUUGUGUCUUUUCCUUUCGGGGAACGGG
This is a long non-coding RNA of Rhododendron vialii, 2285 nucleotides long. RefSeq lists it as uncharacterized. The transcript has 3 exons. The record is from RefSeq and is a predicted model, not a curated record. NCBI's taxonomy places the organism in Eukaryota, Viridiplantae, Streptophyta, Magnoliopsida, Ericales, Ericaceae.